GGCUUCUAUUGAAUGAUGAUGUAAUUGGAUUCCAAAGAUUAUAAUUUAUAACUUGUACAUAAUACAUUUGCAGAAGCUUGAAUCGCUGGAUGUGAUUAUAGAUGUGAAAAUAACCUUGUUAUCAAUUCAAUGACUUUGGCAUGGUUCUGCUAUGGAAAAAUUUUAGGACCAUUGAAAGAGUUGAAAAAGAGAGUGGAGGAGACUAUAAAAAUAUGUUGAAGAAACAAGCGUCAACUAGAGAUUUAAAGAUUACGAGACAUGUCAAUCCUUCGGAAUAUGUUGCCAAAGACAUUAAAGUGAUCAAAAACAUAAGAACAUACCAUUUCAUCUAAAAAUUUGGGCAUGAGGAGGGUGGAGGUAAUGCCGAG
Long non-coding RNA from Vicia villosa (hairy vetch), 368 nucleotides. RefSeq lists it as uncharacterized. The transcript is spliced from 3 exons. The record is from RefSeq and is a predicted model, not a curated record. NCBI's taxonomy places the organism in Eukaryota, Viridiplantae, Streptophyta, Magnoliopsida, Fabales, Fabaceae.